Long non-coding RNA from Cygnus olor (mute swan), 1001 nucleotides. RefSeq lists it as uncharacterized. Lineage: Eukaryota; Metazoa; Chordata; Aves; Anseriformes; Anatidae. The record is from RefSeq and is a predicted model, not a curated record. The transcript is spliced from 6 exons.
GCUGUUAACACUAACAGUUACAUAGGUGUUUCAGCUGUAGGAUCGCAGCUAUGAAAAACAAGAGAUGACACAAGCAGUCUGUCUCCCACACAUUUAAAGAUCACAAUCACAUUCUUACGUGCUUGCAGGAAUUCUCACUUGGCAGUUGCCAUUGUCACCGUUUCCGGUUACUGCCUGUUGACGUGCUGUUGCUGCUGGAGGACAGACUUUGAGACUCCAGAAGUAUGAAAGCACUGAUGUCAAAGGAAUUGUGCACGUGUAUCUGAAGACCACUGCUUGUGUAGCCAGACUGAACAAGCACAAGCCAGACAAAGGGAAGCCCUGAAAAGCAAUGGUCGUAAACUAUACUGAAUUAUAUUAAGGCCACUGUUCUUUUGGACAGCACUCAUGUGAGGAUUGCCUGAAUGUUACGACUGAAUUUUCCAGUCGUGGAAUUAUUCAGGUGAAAUGUACAGGCCUCCAACUAAGAGAGCAGCUGUUGGCACCAGCUCAAGUCUGAUGCUGGUACAGGUUUGCCAGAUCUUUGUGUAGCCGAUGCAGUGAUGGACUGGACAUGUUUUCCUCGGAUUACACAAAGAAUACUGGAAAACUUCAAAUUGAUGCUGGUAAAGAAAAUGCAAAUAUUAUGGUAAGUAUUUUUCAUUUAAUAUAAUUAGUAAAGGCUUUUUAAAGCACAAAAACGUUUAUGAUAUGCUUAAUUGAUGGUAUGGGGCUGUGAAUGUAUUAAUGUUUGAAAUAAAUUUUAGAUACAAUGCUCUUAAAGUAUAUGCUUAAUGUUAAAUAAGGAAAAUAUAGUGAAUUGACAAAAUGUAUUUUGUAAAGAAAUAUUUAGUGGUUUGAAAAUUCAAAGACAACCUAUGAAGAACAAGCCUACAUCUUCAUUAAAUAGUUAAAACCACAUACUUCAAAUUUUUGUACAUAUCUGUUGAAAAGCUCAGGGAUUGCCUGUGCAGAUCCAGUUGCGUAUUCACAUUUGGGGUGUUUAUAUAACCUGAUAUUUU